UCGUGACAUAAAUGAGCAAAAUGAAAUCCCUAAAAUUCCCAAGCGCGUAGUACUGUUCUUCUUCUCCACCAAAAUACACCCGAAUCCAGCCCCAAAUUCCAAGCGAGUGAACAUCAACCCCUAAUCCACGUGUUCAUCUACCUCUCUUCCUACCCCAAAUGGCUUCUCUUUUUUGUUUGAUUUUUGAGUAGCCAUUCUGAUAACAGAGGAAGAAUACAAAUAGUUAAAAUUUUCUAUGGUUUGAUUCCAAUGUCCAUUAAUGUCUAAAAUGUCAAGGUCUUAAGGUCUAUCUUUUCGUUUUCCAUUCCGGAUUCUGGGUAAAACGUAAUUUGCCCGAGAUAGUCGAACUCGUUGUUGCUCGAGGUGUCGAUUUGUAGCUGUUGCUGCUCUGUGUUGACUUCAGUGUUGGGGUUAGUUCAAUUAUCAUUCCAGGUUCACUUCUGCUCUUCUUUUGGUUUUUGUUGUAAAGUGAGCCAUGAACGGAUUGUAAAACGAUUUCAGUUAAAGUAGUAGAUGAGGUUUGUGUGGUUAUCUUCAAUUUCAUUUACUAUCCUGCUUUCAACUUCUUCCUUGAUUUCAUAUUUUGGUUAAUGAAUGUUCAGUAGAUUCUUUGGUCUUGAAAGUCAUUCUGCCUUCUAUCACUAUUCGACCAUGGUUUGUUUUCGAGGAAUUUGUUUGAAAUCUGAUUUCCAUGUAGUCGAGGCUUAGCUUUGUUCGAUUUUAUUGUAUCCUCAGCUGUCAAAGUGGAUGUUAUUGCUAAUUGAAUCAGUUGAAUGCAUCGUGUAUUUUCCUGAAAAUUUCAUGCUCGUUCAGGGAUUAGCUGCAAAUCAGUCAAGUUACGCGUAAUUUUCGUUCAUGCCUUAAUGCUAAGAGUGUAAUACUAUCCUGAUGCUUGGUUUGAAUCUGCCAUCUAUGUGCCCGCAUUUCGGGUGACCUGUUCAUCUUCGUCUUCACUUUAUUUGGCUCGCCGUGGACUGUUUUUCCGCCUUUAGGUGUGUCCGCUUACUUCAGUUACUUUCUAUUUGAAAAUGAAUGAAUGAAUAGUUGAGCUGUUAACUCUAUGAACACGACAAAUCUGAUGGAAGUCCUGAAUAUAUCAUAUGGUUUGUUCGUUUCUGAGUUCACUUGGCUUGUUUGCUAGUAUGACACUAGUUCAUAUCGAAUUUAGUCCAUGAUUCCAUUAUCUUUCCCUUUCUCUACUUAAAAGUGAAG
RNAcentral lists this long non-coding RNA (1212 nucleotides) under Nicotiana benthamiana. Its description in RNAcentral is "long non-coding RNA (NBEN_LNC011267)". Lineage: Eukaryota; Viridiplantae; Streptophyta; Magnoliopsida; Solanales; Solanaceae. The record is from RNAcentral.